UAGAGUUUGAUCCUGGCUCAGAUUGAACGCUGGCGGCAGGCUUAACACAUGCAAGUCGAACGAUGACUCUCUAGCUUGCUAGAGAUGAUUAGUGGCGGACGGGUGAGUAACAUUUAGGAAUCUGCCUAGUAGUGGGGGAUAGCUCGGGGAAACUCGAAUUAAUACCGCAUACGACCUACGGGUGAAAGGGGGCGCAAGCUCUUGCUAUUAGAUGAGCCUAAAUCAGAUUAGCUAGUUGGUGGGGUAAAGGCCCACCGAGGCGACGAUCUGUAACUGGUCUGAGAGGAUGAUCAGUCACACCGGAACUGAGACACGGUCCGGACUCCUACGGGAGGCAGCAGUGGGGAAUAUUGGACAAUGGGGGCAACCCUGAUCCAGCCAUGCCGCGUGUGUGAAGAAGGCCUUUUGGUUGUAAAGCACUUUAAGCAGGGAGGAGAGGCUAAUGGUUAAUACCCAUUAGAUUAGACGUUACCUGCAGAAUAAGCACCGGCUAACUCUGUGCCAGCAGCCGCGGUAAUACAGAGGGUGCGAGCGUUAAUCGGAAUUACUGGGCGUAAAGCGAGUGUAGGUGGCUCAUUAAGUCACAUGUGAAAUCCCCGGGCUUAACCUGGGAACUGCAUGUGAUACUGGUGGUGCUAGAAUAUGUGAGAGGGAAGUAGAAUUCCAGGUGUAGCGGUGUAAUGCGUAGAGAUCUGGAGGAAUACCGAUGGCGAAGGCAGCUUCCUGGCAUAAUAUUGACACUGAGAUUCGAAAGCGUGGGUAGCAAACAGGAUUAGAUACCCUGGUAGUCCACGCCCGUAAACGAUGUCUACUAGCCGUUGGGGGUCCUU
Molecule: ribosomal RNA, 830 nt
Filed under: uncultured bacterium
Lineage: Bacteria
Description: bacterial SSU rRNA
Rfam family: Bacterial small subunit ribosomal RNA
Source: RNAcentral